UGCGUAGGCGGGGCAAUUAGUCAGUGGUGAAAUCCUGCGGCUUAACCGUAGAACUGCGAUUGAUACUGUUGCCCUUGAGUAUAGUUGAGGUGGGCGGAAUGUGUAAUGUAGCGGUGAAAUGCAUAGAGAUUACACAGAACACCAAUUGCGAAGGCAGCUCACUAAGCUAUAACUGACGCUGAGGCACGAAAGCGUGGGGAGCGAACAGGAUUAGAUACCCUGGUAGUC
Molecule: ribosomal RNA, 228 nt
Filed under: uncultured bacterium
Lineage: Bacteria
Description: partial 16S ribosomal RNA
Rfam family: Bacterial small subunit ribosomal RNA
Source: RNAcentral